Molecule: long non-coding RNA, 471 nt
Organism: Lagenorhynchus albirostris (white-beaked dolphin)
Lineage: Eukaryota; Metazoa; Chordata; Mammalia; Artiodactyla; Delphinidae
Exons: 4
Source: RefSeq, a predicted model, not a curated record
ACAUGCCUUCCUUUGGACAAUUCACAACCUUUCAAUGUGGCAGGUCAGCAGGGACCAUUUUACUGACCUGGAAACAAGGCAAUUCAGAGAAAGCUAUGCAAGGAUGCAUACCAAACUGUUCACAACGGUAUACUAAAAGAGUGAGGGAGAGACUCAGGAACUCUUCUGUGCGUCUCUGCAACACAGCCUCUCUGAGCCUUUGAUCUCUCAUCUGUGAAAUGGGGGCAGUGAUUCCCACUUCACAGGAAUGCAUUGGAAAUCAGUUGACACCUCCACACUCUCGCUGAUCAUUUCUUCCAGUCCUAUGUGCUCGACUUCGGGGAAAAACCAAAGACACCAACACACACAGUCAGCGGACGUCCAAGGUAGGGCCUGGAAAUCAUACGGAAGCCCACAAAAGACCCCACAGAGACCACCUCUGAGCCCUUGGGCAAGGCACCUAUCUUCUCUGGACUCCCUGGAGGACAUCCA